RNAcentral lists this ribosomal RNA (551 nucleotides) under uncultured bacterium. RNAcentral's name for it is "bacterial SSU rRNA". It matches the Rfam family "Bacterial small subunit ribosomal RNA", at positions 353 to 896 of the family's 1533-position model. The record is from RNAcentral.
AGUGGGGAAUAUUGGACAAUUUNCGCAAGCCUGAUCCAGCCAUGCCGCGUGUGUGAAGAAGGCCCUCGGGUUGUAAAGCACUUUCAGUGGGGAAGAAAGCCUCGCGGCUAACAUCCGCGAGGAAGGACAUCACCCACAGAAGAAGCACCGGCUAACUCCGUGCCGGCAGCCGCGAUAAUACGGAGGGUGCGAGCGUCAAUCGGAAUUACUGGGCGCAAAGCGCGCGUAGGUGGCUUGAUAAGCCGGUUGUGAAAGCCCCGGGCUCAACCUGGGAACGGCAUCCGGAACUGUCAGGCUAGAGUGCGGGAGAGGAAGGUAGAAUUCCCGGUGUAGCGGUGAAAUGCGUAGAGAUCGGGAGGAAUACCAGUGGCGAAGGCGGCCUUCUGGACUGACACUGACACUGAGGUGCGAAAGCGUGGGUAGCAAACAGGAUUAGAUACCCUGGUAGUCCACGCCGUAAACGAUGUCGACUAGCCGUUGGGUCCUUCGCGGACUAUGUGGCGCAGUUAACGCGAUAAGCCGACCGCCAGGGGAGUACGGCCGCAAGGUUA